CCUACGGGGGGCUGCAGUGAGGAAUAUUGGUCAAUGGACGAGAGUCUGAACCAGCCAAGUAGCGUGAAGGAUGACUGCCCUAUGGGUUGUAAACUUCUUUUAUAUGGGAAUAAAAUGUUCCACGUGUGGGAUUUUGUAUGUACCAUAUGAAUAAGGAUCGGCUAACUCCGUGCCAGCAGCCGCGGUAAUACGGAGGAUCCGAGCGUUAUCCGGAUUUAUUGGGUUUAAAGGGAGCGUAGGUGGAUUGUUAAGUCAGUUGUGAAAGUUUGCGGCUCAACCGUAAAAUUGCAGUUGAAACUGGCAGUCUUGAGUACAGUAGAGGUGGGCGGAAUUCGUGGUGUAGCGGUGAAAUGCUUAGAUAUCGCGAAGAACUCCGAUUGCGAAGGCAGUUCACUGGACUGCAACUGACACUGAGGCUCGAAAGUGUGGGUAUCAAACAGGAUUAGAUACCCGUGUAGUC
Molecule: ribosomal RNA, 460 nt
Filed under: uncultured bacterium
Lineage: Bacteria
Description: partial 16S ribosomal RNA
Rfam family: Bacterial small subunit ribosomal RNA
Source: RNAcentral